Molecule: ribosomal RNA, 253 nt
Filed under: uncultured bacterium
Lineage: Bacteria
Description: partial 16S ribosomal RNA
Rfam family: Bacterial small subunit ribosomal RNA
Source: RNAcentral
UACAGAGGGUGCAAGCGUUGUUCGGAAUCAUUGGGCGUAAAGGGCGUGUAGGCGGUCUGUUAAGUCAUGUGUGAAAUCCCUCGGCUCAACCGGGGAACGACGCAUGAAACUGACAAGCUAGAGUACCAAAGAGGGGGGUGGAAUUCCCGGUGUAGCGGUGAAAUGCUUAGAUAUGACACAGAACACCGAUUGCGUAGGCAGCUCGCUAAACUGUAACUGACGCUGAGGCACGAAAGCGCGGGGAGCAAACAGG